UCGAAGGCGAAACAAGAAUGAUUUUUUGUCCCUCACCGUCGUCUCCUCUGUCCGACCAUUGAAACACCGAGGCGACCGAUCUUCUCGUCUCCUCGUCUCCUCAUCACCACAGAGUUUAUGCUCUUAUCAGUUUGCUCUUAUCUGAGUUGAUUGGCCAUGGCUUCUUCUAUCGUUUUCGCUGCAACUCCGGUUACUGGGUUUCUCUCUGUUCCUCCUUUGAAGUCUCGGAGAUUUCUUCAUGUUUGUUCUUCACUCGACGCCGAUGUUUCCGACAUGAGUAUUAACGGAAUCAACAAUUUCGAGUUUGAGGGAAUGGUUGGCAGAUUCAACAAUAGGAAAUAAUGAUACAUUGAGGUUGAUUGCUGGUAUUAUAUUCAUGCAUGAGGAAUAUUAUAAUGAAGCUUUGAAGCAUAUUCAUGCUGGAGGAACUAUGGAUUUGUAAUUCUUUGGUGGAUUGUGACUGUGUUCUGGUGAGAGUGGUUGUUAUGUUUACAUGCUCUUUGAUUGUUUGUUUAUUGCUGCUUUGUUUCUAGGUAUGCCUUGAAUGUUCAGAUGUUCAUUAAGAUGCAUAGAUCAGAGUAACCUAUAAUCAGACUUGCAUACCUUCUUCACUGCACUUAUAUCGUGGCUUUUCUGUGUGUUACCAAGUGUUUAUUAUACUAGUUGUGGUGAUUGCAGGAUGCUAAAAACCCAGAAACCUUGUUGUCUGCAGUCUUCAUGUUGGGAAAUCAUCUUCACGCUAUCUAAGCCAGCUGAAACUUUCGCACCCGGAACAUCUACUUGUGAAGCGUGUGUCAUAAGCCGAAGACAACUUCGAGAGAGCUGUUCAAUCAGUUGCCUGAAGACUUUGAAGCUAAAAUAGUUGUGCAGGGUCGGUCUGUUGUACCGCAUUCUCUAUUAGAGUAACCAUACUGUCUAUUCUUUUCGUGAUUAGUAUAUGAACCAGAUUUUGCCAGUGGAUAUGUUAC
Molecule: non-coding RNA, 968 nt
Organism: Camelina sativa (false flax)
Lineage: Eukaryota; Viridiplantae; Streptophyta; Magnoliopsida; Brassicales; Brassicaceae
Source: RefSeq, a predicted model, not a curated record